UUCACAAUCCACUGCCUUGAUCCACUUGGCUACAUCCGCC
Molecule: transfer RNA, 40 nt
Filed under: Lycium berlandieri
Lineage: Eukaryota; Viridiplantae; Streptophyta; Magnoliopsida; Solanales; Solanaceae
Also listed under: 9 other names
Description: partial tRNA-His
Source: RNAcentral